GAUGAACGCUGGCGGCGUGCCUAAUACAUGCAAGUCGAGCGAACGGACGAGAAGCCUGCUUCUCUGAUGUUAGCGGCGGACGGGUGAGUAACACGUGGAUAACCUACCUAUAAGACUGGGAUAACUUCGGGAAACCGGAGCUAAUACCGGACAAUAUUUUGAACCGCAUGGUUCAAAAGUGAAAGACGGUCUUGCUGUCACUUAUAGAUGGAUCCGCGCUGCAUUAGCUAGUUGGUACGGUAACGGCUUACCAAGGCAACGAUGCAUAGCCGACCUGGGAGGGUGAUCGGCCACACGGGAACUGAGACACGGUCCAGACUCCUACGGGAGGCAGCAGUAGGGAAUCUUCCGCAAUGGGCGAAAGCCUGACGGAGCAACACCGCGUGAGUGAUGAAGGUCUUCGGAUCGUAAAACUCUGUUAUUAGGGAAGAACAUAUGUGUAAGUAACUGUGCACAUCUUGACGGUACCUAAUCAGAAAGCCACGGCUAACUACGUG
Molecule: ribosomal RNA, 497 nt
Filed under: uncultured bacterium
Lineage: Bacteria
Description: partial 16S ribosomal RNA
Rfam family: Bacterial small subunit ribosomal RNA
Source: RNAcentral